CCGACGCUAAUACCUGAUGAGGCAUUUAUGUCAAAGAUUUUAUCGGAAAAGGAUGAGUCUGCGUCUGAUUAGCUUGUUGGUAAGGUAAUGGCUUACCAAGGCUACGAUCAGUAGCUGGUUUGAGAGGAUGAUCAGCCACACUGGAACUGAGACACGGUCCAGACUCCUACGGGAGGCAGCAGUGAGGAAUUUUGGGCAAUGGGGGCAACCCUGACCCAGCGACGCCGCGUGCAGGAUGAAGGCCCUUCGGGUUGUAAACUGCUUUCGGGUGAGAAGAAAAGCCGACUCGGUCGGCUGGGACUGUACCACCAGAAGAAGCACCGGCUAACUACGUGCCAGCAGCCGCGGUAAUACGUAGGGUGCAAGCGUUAUCCGGAAUCACUGGGUGUAAAGGGUGUGUAGGCGGAUUUGUGCGUCAGAGGUUAAAUAUCCAGGCUUAACUUGGAAAAUGCCUUUGAUACGGCAAGUCUUGAGUAUAAGAGAGGAAGAUGGAAUUCCUGGUGUAGAAGUGAAAUUCGUAGAUAUCAGGAGGAACACCGGUGGCGAAGGCGGUCUUCUGGCUUAUUACUGACGCUGAGGCACGAAAGCGUGGGGAUCAAACAGGAUUAGAUACCCUGGUAGUCCACGCCCUAAACGAUGUAUGCUUGGUGUUUGCCACGUAAGUGGCAAGUGCCGGAGGUAACC
This 684-nucleotide ribosomal RNA is filed under the name uncultured bacterium. RNAcentral describes it as "bacterial SSU rRNA". It matches the Rfam family "Bacterial small subunit ribosomal RNA", at positions 157 to 857 of the family's 1533-position model. The record is from RNAcentral.